Molecule: ribosomal RNA, 344 nt
Filed under: uncultured bacterium
Lineage: Bacteria
Description: partial 16S ribosomal RNA
Rfam family: Bacterial small subunit ribosomal RNA
Source: RNAcentral
CCUACGGGGGGCUGCAGUAGGGAAUAUUGCUCAAUGGGGGAAACCCUGAAGCAGCAACGCCGCGUGGAGGAUGAAGGUUUUCGGAUGGUAAACUCCUGUUGGUAGAGAAGAAAAUGACGGUAUCUAACGAAUAAGCACCGGCCAACUCCGGGCCAGCAGCCGCGGUAAUACGGAGGGUGCAAGCUUUACGCGGAAUCACUGGGCGUAAAGAGAGCGUAGGCGGGAUGGCAAGUCAGAUGUGAAAUCCUCUGGCUUAACCAUAGAACUGCAUUUGAAACUGUUAUUCUAGAGUAUGGGAGAGGUAGGUGGAAUUCUUGGUGUAGGGGUCAAAUCCGUAGAGAUCA